Molecule: ribosomal RNA, 455 nt
Filed under: uncultured bacterium
Lineage: Bacteria
Description: bacterial SSU rRNA
Rfam family: Bacterial small subunit ribosomal RNA
Source: RNAcentral
GACGAACGCUGGCGGCGUGCUUAACACAUGCAAGUCGAGCGGUAAGGCCCUUUCGGGGGUACACGAGCGGCGAACGGGUGAGUAACACGUGGGUGACCUGCCCUUAGCUCUGGGAUAAGCCUGGGAAACUGGGUCUAAUACCGGAUAUGACUCCAUGACGCAUGUUGUGGGGUGGAAAGCCUUGUGCGGCUAGGGAUGGGCCCGCGGCCUAUCAGCUUGUUGGUGGGGUGAUGGCCUACCAAGGCGACGACGGGUAGCCGGCCUGAGAGGGCGACCGGCCACACUGGGACUGAGACACGGCCCAGACUCCUACCGGGAGGCAGCAGUGGGGAAUCUUGCGCAAUGGGCGAAAGCCUGACGCAGCCAUGCCGCGUGAAUGAUGAAGGUCUUAGGAUUGUAAAAUUCUUUCAGCGGGGACGAUAAUGACGGUACCCGCAGAAGAAGCCCCGGCUAAC